AAAAAGGUUUUUUUGGAAACCACUGGCUUUGGGUUUAAAAGAAAAU
Molecule: non-coding RNA, 46 nt
Organism: Fulmarus glacialis (Northern fulmar)
Lineage: Eukaryota; Metazoa; Chordata; Aves; Procellariiformes; Procellariidae
Source: Rfam